RNAcentral lists this ribosomal RNA (325 nucleotides) under uncultured eukaryote. Its description in RNAcentral is "partial 18S ribosomal RNA". It matches the Rfam family "Eukaryotic small subunit ribosomal RNA", at positions 1470 to 1796 of the family's 1831-position model. The record is from RNAcentral.
CCCUUAGAUGUCCUGGGCCGCACGCGCGCUACACUGAUGCAUUCAACGAGUUUUUCCUUGGCCGAGAGGCCUGGGCAAUCUUGUGAACGUGCAUCGUGAUAGGGAUAGAUUCUUGCAAUUAUUAAUCUUGAACGAGGAAUUCCUAGUAAACGCAGAUCAUCAAUCUGCAUUGAUUACGUCCCUGCCCUUUGUACACACCGCCCGUCGCACCUACCGAUUGAAUGGUCCGGUGAAGCCUCGAGAUUGUGGCUAGCUUGCUUCAUUGCGAGUUAGUUGCGAGAACUUGUCUAAACCUUAUCAUUUAGAGGAAGGUGAANUCGUAACA